Phragmites australis (common reed) is the source of this 471-nucleotide long non-coding RNA. RefSeq lists it as uncharacterized. The record is from RefSeq and is a predicted model, not a curated record. NCBI's taxonomy places the organism in Eukaryota, Viridiplantae, Streptophyta, Magnoliopsida, Poales, Poaceae. The transcript is spliced from 2 exons.
GCCGGCUGCCUCCCCCUCUCUCCCUCUGUGUUGCCGUGAUAGCCCAGCCGGCCGAAGCAAGCGACACAGAGGAAGAAGCCAGGAAGAAGAAGAAGGAAGAAAAGGAAAGAAAAGAAAGAGAGAAAAGAAAAGAAAAAAGAAAGAAAAGGAAAAAAAAAAAGAGGAAAAAGUUGGAAAUUUCGGAAUUUCAUUGGAUUCAUCGUCAAACUUUCGAAGGUGAAUUCUCGGUGGUACUAUUUCCGGACGUUCUUGAUCGAAUUUUCUUCAUCGUCGGUAAAGGCAAGUGAAUGUAUUGUAUGACUAUGCUUUAACCUAAUAUUGGGUUGCCUACAUUCUUUAAUUACAGUGCAUUCAUCUAAUCUGAAUGACUGAUUCUGGGCUGAGUACUAUGUUGUUUACGUUUCCAGAAGUUUACUCGAUGAUUGAUUUAUGAAGUGCAGUAGGCACGAUAUGCCAUUCUGCAGUUGUUCA